Molecule: ribosomal RNA, 484 nt
Filed under: uncultured bacterium
Lineage: Bacteria
Description: partial 16S ribosomal RNA
Rfam family: Bacterial small subunit ribosomal RNA
Source: RNAcentral
AUUGAACGCUGGCGGCAGGCCUAACACAUGCAAGUCGAGCGGAUGAAGGGAGCUUGCUCCUGGAUUCAGCGGCGGACGGGUGAGUAAUGCCUAGGAAUCUGCCUGGUAGUGGGGGAUAACGUCCGGAAACGGGCGCUAAUACCGCAUACGUCCUGAGGGAGAAAGUGGGGGAUCUUCGGACCUCACGCUAUCAGAUGAGCCUAGGUCGGAUUAGCUAGUUGGUGGGGUAAAGGCCUACCAAGGCGACGAUCCGUAACUGGUCUGAGAGGAUGAUCAGUCACACUGGAACUGAGACACGGUCCAGACUCCUACGGGAGGCAGCAGUGGCGAAUAUUGGACAAUGGGCGAAAGCCUGAUCCAGCCAUGCCGCGUGUGUGAAGAAGGUCUUCGGAUUGUAAAGCACUUUACGUUGGGAGGAAGGGCAGUAAGUUAAUACCUUGCUGUUUUGACGUUACCAACAGAAUAAGCACCGGCUAACUUCGUG